RNAcentral lists this ribosomal RNA (492 nucleotides) under uncultured bacterium. RNAcentral describes it as "partial 16S ribosomal RNA". It matches the Rfam family "Bacterial small subunit ribosomal RNA", at positions 29 to 507 of the family's 1533-position model. The record is from RNAcentral.
AGUGAACGCUGGCGGUAGGCCUAACACAUGCAAGUCGGACGGCAGCACAGUAAGAGCUUGCUCUUACGGGUGGCGAGUGGCGGACGGGUGAGGAAUACAUCGGACUCUACUUUUUCGUGGGGGAUAACGUAGGGAAACUUACGCUAAUACCGCAUACGACCUACGGGUGAAAGCAGGGGAUCUUCGGACCUUGCGCGAUAGAAUGAGCCGAUGUCGGAUUAGCUAGUUGGCGGGGUAAAGGCCAACCAAGGCGACGAUCCGUAGCUGGUCUGAGAGGAUGAUCAGCCACACUGGAACUGAGACACGGUCCAGACUCCUACGGGAGGCAGCAGUGGGGAAUAUUGGACAAUGAGCGCAAGCCUGAUCCAGCCAUACCGCGUGGGUGAAGAAGGCCUUAGGGUUGUAAAGCCCUUUUGUUGGGAAAGAAAAGCAGCAGGUUAAUACCCCGCUGUUCUGACGGUACCCAAAGAAUAAGCACCGGCUAACUUCGUG